This 206-nucleotide long non-coding RNA is filed under the name Vigna radiata. Its description in RNAcentral is "long non-coding RNA (VRAD_LNC012661)". The record is from RNAcentral. Lineage: Eukaryota; Viridiplantae; Streptophyta; Magnoliopsida; Fabales; Fabaceae.
ACACACACAGGAUACUCCCUUUGGGCUCACCAUUCUAGCUUAUACCAUGUUUCCCAUGACAUUUUAACAACCCAUCAAAAAAACACCCAAGAAAGAUUCUAACCAACCAGCAGGGACGAACAAGACCAUAUUCCUCAUCUCUAACAGUCUCCAGAUUUCACCUCACUAGGAACACAAGCUACCAUCACACAUCUCACACAGACCGC